Non-coding RNA from Triticum aestivum (bread wheat), 115 nucleotides. The record is from Rfam. NCBI's taxonomy places the organism in Eukaryota, Viridiplantae, Streptophyta, Magnoliopsida, Poales, Poaceae.
UACGUACUUCCUCUGUUCGAAAUUACUUGUGUUGAAAAUGGAUGUAUCUAGACGUAUUUUAGUUCUAGAUACAUCCAUUUUUGAGAUAAGUAAUUUCGAACGGAGGGAGUAGAAA